Molecule: small RNA, 695 nt
Filed under: Pan troglodytes (chimpanzee)
Lineage: Eukaryota; Metazoa; Chordata; Mammalia; Primates; Hominidae
Description: processed transcript
Source: RNAcentral
AAAAAGAUUUGCUAUGGCCAACAAAGGAAACUGUCACACCUUUUCCCAUCACCGCUUUAAUUUAUGCUCAGUCUCCAAGUUUUUUUUUUCAUAUUGAUUUGAUAAUCACUUUAAUGCAGAACAUUUAAAAUAAGAAAGAGCUUGGCUCUGUGGAGGCCCAGUGUGGGCUUGUUCUCAAUGGCCAAGGUGGAGUGAUAAGAAGAGGUGGCACCUGUGUGGUCAACCCCACAGACUUAUUUUGCUCUGUCCCUGGCCGUUUGUCCCUUCUUAGUUCUACUUCCAAAUACAAGGUGACCAUUGCUGAGGUAAAGAGGCGCCUCUCCCCACCUGAGUGCCUCAAUGCUUCACUCUUGGGAGGCAUUUUGAGAAGAGCAAAAUCAAAGAAUGGGGGCCGCUGCCUGAGAGAGAAAUUGGAUAGGCUUGGCUUAAACUUACCAGCAGGAAGACGGAAAGCAGCUAAUGUCACCCUCCUUACUUCCUUGGUCGAAGGGGAGGCUUUGCACUUGGCUCGGGAUUUUGGCUACACUUGUGAAACAGAGUUUCCAGCCAAAGCAGUAGGAGAACAUCUUGCCAGACAACAUAUGGAACAGAAAGAACAGACAGCAAGAAAAAAGAUGAUCCUGGCGACCAAACAAAUCUGUAAAGAAUUCCAAGACCUCCUGAGCCAAGAUAGAUCACCACUGGGAUCCUCCAGA